Molecule: small nucleolar RNA, 316 nt
Filed under: Lucilia cuprina (Australian sheep blowfly)
Lineage: Eukaryota; Metazoa; Arthropoda; Insecta; Diptera; Calliphoridae
Source: RNAcentral
GGCAUUUAACGCAUCUUGAAAGACUCUUAAUUAAGUUAAAGCAGAGUAGAAAAAUACAGUUUCAGCCGUUGUAAUCUUAGUGAUUGUUAUAGAAGUGUCAAGCAAUUGCUGUAAGGCCAGCGGUAUAUUAAAAUCUACAAAAAACCUUCAUUAGACUGUUGUUUGUUGUAGAGUAUUUGGCAAACAAUUUAAUUGAGGUUUUAUAUUUCAAAAACAAAAUGAAACUCUUUGCCUUACACUUAAUAAAAAAAAGAGAUGUAAAAUGUUUAGAUAUUGUUUUAAGGCAGAUUGAUGACAUCUUUAGUAAUCUGAGCCU